GUGCCUGUUUUCCUCGGAACUGCAUCCUGGAAGGAAAACACCUCAGUCCUGAGAAAAACACCCUGCCUGAGACAAUUGCUGUCAUUAGUCACUAGCAACCCCGCGUCUCCUGCUACUAACUAUGUCAAAAGUACAAAUAAACACCCCUAGGGUGGUUCAGUUCUCCCAUCGGAAGGGGAGGACCUCCGCUGACCUCAGCUUUCUUCCUGUUUAUAUCUUCCUCCUCUCACUUCCUAACCCCCCCAUCACCCAGAGCUCCAAGGAGUCUGGACAUGUGCCAUAGCAACACCCGCCUGAACAGCUUGAAAUCCCCGGCUGACCUCGCCCUGGUGGGAAACGGCGCCCAAUGGCCCUGCUCCAGGCACCGACAGCAGGGCUGAACGCUCCCAGGGGUCAGUGAGGGCGGCGGCUCCCUGAGCUUCUUUUGCAAAAGUCUCCGAGACAGAACGGAAUACGCUUGCUUCAGACUUUGCCUCUUCCUCUUCCUAGGUAGAAGUUCAAGAACUGGACACAGUGUGCCUCACCGUGGGACACGUGGAGUUGCACCCCCAACCAGGACUGGUGGGGGGGUGCGAGGUCACGAGCCGUCAGCACAGGCGAGAGGGUCCUUGGGGGCGGCCUGGCCUCAUCCCGCGGAGCCCCACUGGUGUGUAGGGUGACUGGAAGGCAAACCUGAUCUGACGUAAAGGAAGAACAUUUAAUUUUACUUUUUUAGAAAUGAAAACGUGUAGAUGUAGCUGUGUGAUCUCCACCAUGUUCCACAACCUUUGGGGAAAACCUCAGGCGUGUGGCCCGUGUUAAGCGUGUGACGCUGGGGUGAAGGUGGCCUAGCACAGCGCCUGCCCUCCCUGCUUCUGGAGCCCUCGCCUGGUCUUCAGCUCCGUGGGGCUCACCCGGGAGGCUGGACAGGGACUGUCCGGGGACGAGGCGGAGUGUUAGUGGGGAGCCAGGGUCUCAGGUCUGCAAGUUGCCAGGCUGGAUCCUCAAGUGAGAACAAAGGCGUCCUCCCCACUGACCCUGGCUGCGGCUCACCCACCCCGUCACCCACCCCGUCCUCCUGAGACUGUCCAGCCGCCUCCCUGUGCCAACUGCUGUCCACGGGGCUCUGAUCCGGCCGGAUCUCCCCACCUCUGCGCUGCCUCCCCCAUCCGCCUUCCCAUCUCUUCUUUCUCUCCAUAGUCCACAUGGCCCCGGAUCCACUCUUUGAAGGUUCUGCCGCCACCGAUCUUCGUCUUUUCUGUCUUGUUUUAUAGCUAAGCCCGUGAUCUUCAUUAAUCCAGAGUAGCUUCGAAUAGUCAAAGCCGAGCUUCAAGAGCUGAUAACACAAGUAGAGCGGGAGGAACAGAACCAGAUUCAAGAGCUUUGGCAGCUGUUUUGUUUUAUAAAAGAGAAACCAGCCUGCGGAAAAUACUCAGGGAAAUAAGAUGGAGAAGGAAGACUAAGGGCUCCUGAUGUCAUUACAGAUGCUCGUGCUGCUCUAAGAGCCAGUGAGCGGAUGUCCUCCAGCUCUAGACCCUGUCCGUUCACUGCGCCUCAGGGCUCAGCGGGAGCCUUUCCUCUCUUGCAGGCCCUUCUGGUCCGCCGGGCGAGUGGCGAAAAGUUCCCCCAAAAAGACAAAUCACAGCAAUGGGGACGCCCCUGCCCACGCCUCUGUCCUCCAGAACGCAUCCUCGUGUGUCCCCAAAACUGGGAGCCACACUGCAAGGGGGGCCAGGGUUGUGGCGGCAGGCUCACCUCUGUAACUCUUCCCCUCUGACGUUUGAGCCUUUUAUUGUUUUCAACCAUGUGCACAUAUUACAUUAGAAAAAACAAACAUGACUAAGCAAUGGCUAGAUAGCUCAAAAAGCAGCUUUUCCCCAAGGAUUUUACUCACACAGUAAGAACAAAAGCACUGUGAAGACUUAUAAUUCUAUGCUGGUCAUAUAAAACUUCCGUUGUAAAAAGUA
This is a long non-coding RNA of Chinchilla lanigera (long-tailed chinchilla), 1946 nucleotides long. RefSeq lists it as uncharacterized. The transcript has 2 exons. NCBI's taxonomy places the organism in Eukaryota, Metazoa, Chordata, Mammalia, Rodentia, Chinchillidae. The record is from RefSeq and is a predicted model, not a curated record.